AGUUGGCCUUUUCAUUUUAAUCAACCAGGGGAGGCAGCAGUGAGCCAUACUUUGCCUGCCGGAGGAUGAGAAAGGUGACUGGGAAAUGGUUAAUAUUUACGUAUAAAUACAUAGGUCAUUUGUGUUGUGUAAGUUUAAAAGUAGAGUCUGGAGUAUUGCUUGUUACAGUUUGUAAACAAAACAUUGAAACUGGGCCCCUCCUCUCGGGCUCAACUGUGUAACGUUAGCCUCCUGCCCCUGACAGCAGCAGUUACCAGGACCACAAAGGUGUAUUGUUGAUACAGGGAUAAACCAGGGUUUGACAAGAGUUGCCAGUGUCUGAUUCUACACCCGAACACAGCAGAGUGGGCGGGGCCUGCAGACCGACCCAGUUACACCUGCAGUGAGCAGACAGAGGAAGAGGAGUGUGAGAUCCACGGGGAAAGGAGCAGGAGAAAGAGAACGACAGCUGUCGCCAGCAGACGGGCAUUGACUGUCGGACUAAUUGAAAUCUCCCGAGUCUGCGCCCGGCAGAGGACAGUGUGCAAGUGGAAGACCAGCGGUGGUCGUGGAGAAUUGGUGUUACCAAGUCACCACAAUAAUGGACCCCUUCCUCCCAGACCCCAUUCUAUAAUUUUUGUCAAUCAUAUUUUCUUUUCCUUUUCUGUAAUUUAUAUUAAAAAUAUUCUCAAUUAAAAUACAGACACUUUUAGAAAAAUGGUUAGAAGUCUGUAAUGUUUGCAUUUUGUUAUUUACAUCACAGAUUGAUAACUUAAUUGUGAUAAUGUUCAAAGUUAUUAUAAUUAUUAUUAUUAUUAUUAUUUCACAUAAACACACACAGUAAGUAUAACGGUACUGUGCUAGGUAUUCUUUUC
This 854-nucleotide long non-coding RNA is filed under the name Sparus aurata (gilthead seabream). RNAcentral's name for it is "lncRNA (ENSSAUG00010021773.1)". Lineage: Eukaryota; Metazoa; Chordata; Actinopteri; Spariformes; Sparidae. The record is from RNAcentral.